CUCUUAUCCUGAGCUGGUGGAGGGAGCAGACCCUAUGAAACCCAGCAACCUGCUAUGAAAUAGAGGGAAACAGAACGAUUUUCCCAAGAGCGAAGGUGCUAAACUGAGGCAAGGUGCAAACCUUGAACGAUAAGAG
Molecule: non-coding RNA, 136 nt
Filed under: Rossellomorea marisflavi
Lineage: Bacteria; Bacillati; Bacillota; Bacilli; Caryophanales; Bacillaceae
Also listed under: 1 other name
Description: Bacillus marisflavi SAM-I sequence
Rfam family: SAM riboswitch aptamer (S box leader)
About the family: The SAM riboswitch is found upstream of a number of genes which code for proteins involved in methionine or cysteine biosynthesis in Gram-positive bacteria.
Source: Rfam by way of RNAcentral